UAGGGGUUGGUAGAGGAAGGUCCCCCACAGAGGAAGUGCGACAUGGUCCAGAAUCCUACGGGAGGCAGCAGUGAGGAAUAUUGGGCAAUGGUCGGAAGAGUGAUCCAGCCAUGGCGGAAGACGGUUACGGUCUUAAGGAUUUUAAAAUUUUUUCGUAGGGAAGCAAUAAGGUGCAGGUGAGUCUGGAUGAGAGUCCCAUAAGAAUAAGCAUGGGCUAACUCCGUCCCCGCAGCCGCGGUAAUAGGGAGGAUGCGAGCGUUCUCGGGAUUUAUUGGGUAAAAAGGGGGUGUAGGGGGAUUAAUAAGUCAGCGGUGAAACUCACAGUCUCAACUUGUGCGGCAGGGGAGAAACUGUUUAUGGAGAAUGCGGAUGGAGGGGGAGGAACGUGUAGUGUAGCGGGAAAAUGCAUAGAUAUUACACAGAACACCGAUUGAGAAGGCAUCUCACAAAGCCAUGAUUGACGAUGAGGCACGAAAGUGUGGGGAUCAAACAGGAUUAGAUACCCUGGUAGUCCACACAAAAAAGAUGCUAACUGGUGCCGUCGAAAUAUAGUCGGGGCCCAGCGAAA
RNAcentral lists this ribosomal RNA (568 nucleotides) under uncultured bacterium. RNAcentral describes it as "bacterial SSU rRNA". It matches the Rfam family "Bacterial small subunit ribosomal RNA", at positions 284 to 856 of the family's 1533-position model. The record is from RNAcentral.